Molecule: ribosomal RNA, 253 nt
Filed under: uncultured bacterium
Lineage: Bacteria
Description: partial 16S ribosomal RNA
Rfam family: Bacterial small subunit ribosomal RNA
Source: RNAcentral
GACGAACGGUGCGAGCGUUGUUCGGAAUCACUGGGCUUAAAGGGCGCGUAGGCGGGUGAUCAAGUCCGGGGUGAAAUCUUUCGGCUCAACCGGAAAAUAGCCUUGGAUACUGGUCGCCUUGAGGGAGGUAGGGGCAUGUGGAACUUCCGGUGGAGCGGUGAAAUGUGUUGAUAUCGGAAGGAACGCCGGUGGCGAAAGCGACGUGCUGGAUCUCUUCUGACGCUGAGGCGCGAAAGCUAGGGGAGCGAACGGG